CCUACGGGAGGCAGCAGUGGGGAAUAUUGGGCAAUGGAGGAAACUCUGACCCAGCAACGCCGCGUGCAUGAUGAAGGUCUUCGGAUUGUAAAGUUCUUUUCUAAGGGAAGAAGAAAGUGACGGUACCUUAGGAAUAAGCUUCGGCUAACUACGUGCCAGCAGCCGCGGUAAUACGUAGGAGGCGAGCGUUAUCCGGAAUGACUGGGCGUAAAGGGUGCGUAGGUGGUUUGGCAAGUUAGUAGCGUAACUCCAAGGCUCAACCUUGGAACUACUACUAAAACUGUUAGACUAGAGUGCAGGAGAGGCAAGCGGAAUUCCUAGUGUAGCGGUGAAAUGCGUAGAUAUUAGGAAGAACACCAGUGGCGAAGGCAGGUUGCUGGACUGAAACUGACGCUGAGGCACGAAAGCGUGGGGAGCAAACAGGAUUAGAUACCCGUGUAGUC
Molecule: ribosomal RNA, 443 nt
Filed under: uncultured bacterium
Lineage: Bacteria
Description: partial 16S ribosomal RNA
Rfam family: Bacterial small subunit ribosomal RNA
Source: RNAcentral